GCGGGUGUGGCGGAACUGGCAGACGCACUAGGUUCAGGGUCUAGCGGGAAACCGUGGGGGUUCGAAUCCCUUCACCCGCA
This 80-nucleotide transfer RNA is filed under the name Anoxynatronum buryatiense. RNAcentral describes it as "alkaliphilic bacterium Su22 tRNA". It matches the Rfam family "tRNA". From Rfam's summary of the family: Transfer RNA (tRNA) molecules are approximately 80 nucleotides in length. Lineage: Bacteria; Bacillati; Bacillota; Clostridia; Eubacteriales; Clostridiaceae. The record is from Rfam by way of RNAcentral.